UAGAACGCUGGCGGCAGGCCUAACACAUGCAAGUCGAGCGGUAGAGAGGUGCUUGCACCUCUUGAGAGCGGCGGACGGGUGAGUAAUGCCUAGGAAUCUGCCUGGUAGUGGGGGAUAACGCUCGGAAACGGACGCUAAUACCGCAUACGUCCUACGGGAGAAAGCAGGGGACCUUCGGGCCUUGCGCUAUCAGAUGAGCCUAGGUCGGAUUAGCUAGUUGGUGAGGUAAUGGCUCACCAAGGCGACGAUCCGUAACUGGUCUGAGAGGAUGAUCAGUCACACUGGAACUGAGACACGGUCCAGACUCCUACGGGAGGCAGCAGUGGGGAAUAUUGGACAAUGGGCGAAAGCCUGAUCCAGCCAUGCCGCGUGUGUGAAGAAGGUCUUCGGAUUGUAAAGCACUUUAAGUUGGGAGGAAGGGCAUUAACCUAAUACGUUAGUGUUUUGACGUUACCGACAGAAUAAGCACCGGCUAACUCUGUGCCAGCAGCCGCGGUAAUACAGAGGGUGCAAGCGUUAAUCGGAAUUACUGGGCGUAAAGCGCGCGUAGGUGGUUUGUUAAGUUGGAUGUGAAAGCCCCGGGCUCAACCUGGGAACUGCAUUCAAAACUGAC
Molecule: ribosomal RNA, 613 nt
Filed under: Pseudomonas sp. E106
Lineage: Bacteria; Pseudomonadati; Pseudomonadota; Gammaproteobacteria; Pseudomonadales; Pseudomonadaceae
Also listed under: 1 other name
Description: bacterial SSU rRNA
Rfam family: Bacterial small subunit ribosomal RNA
Source: RNAcentral